RNAcentral lists this ribosomal RNA (253 nucleotides) under uncultured bacterium. Its description in RNAcentral is "partial 16S ribosomal RNA". It matches the Rfam family "Bacterial small subunit ribosomal RNA", at positions 28 to 307 of the family's 1533-position model. The record is from RNAcentral.
GACGAACGCUGGCGGCAGGCCUAACACAUGCAAGUCGAACGCUCGUAGCAAUACGAGAGUGGCAGACGGGUGAGUAACACGUGGGAACCUUCCCUAUGGUUCGGGAUAGCUCAGGGAAACUUGGGGUAAUACCGGAUAAGCCCUUCGGGGAAAGGAUUUAUCGCCAUUGGAUGGGCCCGCGUCGGAUUAGCUAGUUGGUGAGGUAACGGCUCACCAAGGCAACGAUCCGUAGCUGGUCUGAGAGGAUGAUCAG